RNAcentral lists this ribosomal RNA (396 nucleotides) under uncultured bacterium. RNAcentral's name for it is "bacterial SSU rRNA". It matches the Rfam family "Bacterial small subunit ribosomal RNA", at positions 29 to 440 of the family's 1533-position model. The record is from RNAcentral.
AACGAACGCUGGCGGCAGGCUUAACACAUGCAAGUCGAACGCAUCCUUCGGGGUGAGUGGCAGACGGGUGAGUAACACGCGGGAACGUACCUUUCGGUUCGGGAUAACCCAGGGAAACUUGGGCUAAUACCGGAUACGUCCUUUGGGAGCAGUCCUUUGGGAGAAAGAUUCAUUGCCGAGAGAUCGGCCCGCGUCUGAUUAGCUAGUUGGUGGGGUAACGGCUCACCAAGGCGACGAUCAGUAGCUGGCUGAGAGGAUGAUCAGCCACACUGGGACUGAGACACGGCCCAGACUCCUACGGGAGGCAGCAGUGGGAAUAUUGGACAAUGGGCGCAAGCCUGAUCCAGCCAUGCCGCGUGAGUGAUGAAGGCCCUAGGGUUGUAAAGCUCUUUCGGC